CACGAAGUUAGCCGGUGCUUAUUCUUCCGGUACCGUCAUGACGCUUGGGUAUUAACCGAGCGCUUUUCUUUCCGGACAAAAGAGCUUUACAACCCGAGGGCCUUCUUCACUCACGCGGCAUGGCUGGAUCAGGCUUGCGCCCAUUGUCCAAUAUUCCCCACUGCUGCCUCCCGUAGGAGUCUGGACCGUGUCUCAGUUCCAGUGUGGCUGAUCAUCCUCUCAGACCAGCUACGGAUCGUCGCCUUGGUGGGCCGUUACCCGCCAACAAGCUAAUCCGACGUCGGCUCAUCUAUCUGCGCGAAGCCCGAAGGUCCUCCGCUUUCACCCGUAGGUCGUAUGCGGUAUUAGCGUAAGUUUCCCUACGUUAUCCCCCACAAAUAGGCAGAUUCCGACGUAUUCCUCACCCGUCCGCCACUCGCCACCCAAGGAGCAAGCUCCUCUGUGCUGCCGUUCGACUUGCAUGUGUUAGGCCUGCCGCCAGCGUUCACUCUGAGCCAGGAUCAAA
This 505-nucleotide ribosomal RNA is filed under the name uncultured Lysobacter sp. RNAcentral describes it as "partial 16S ribosomal RNA". The record is from RNAcentral. Lineage: Bacteria; Pseudomonadati; Pseudomonadota; Gammaproteobacteria; Lysobacterales; Lysobacteraceae.